RNAcentral lists this ribosomal RNA (800 nucleotides) under Arthrobacter sp. VA28. Its description in RNAcentral is "bacterial SSU rRNA". It matches the Rfam family "Bacterial small subunit ribosomal RNA", at positions 61 to 873 of the family's 1533-position model. The record is from RNAcentral. Lineage: Bacteria; Bacillati; Actinomycetota; Actinomycetes; Micrococcales; Micrococcaceae.
GCUCUGACGAUGAUCCCAGCUUGCUGGGGGAUUAGUGGCGAACGGGUGAGUAACACGUGAGUAACCUGCCCUUGACUCUGGGAUAAGCCUGGGAAACUGGGUCUAAUACCGGAUAUGACCGUCUGACGCAUGUCAGGUGGUGGAAAGCUUUUGUGGUUUUGGAUGGACUCGCGGCCUAUCAGCUUGUUGGUGGGGUAAUGGCCUACCAAGGCGACGACGGGUAGCCGGCCUGAGAGGGUGACCGGCCACACUGGGACUGAGACACGGCCCAGACUCCUACGGGAGGCAGCAGUGGGGAAUAUUGCACAAUGGGCGCAAGCCUGAUGCAGCGACGCCGCGUGAGGGAUGACGGCCUUCGGGUUGUAAACCUCUUUCAGUAGGGAAGAAGCGAAAGUGACGGUACCUGCAGAAGAAGCGCCGGCUAACUACGUGCCAGCAGCCGCGGUAAUACGUAGGGCGCAAGCGUUAUCCGGAAUUAUUGGGCGUAAAGAGCUCGUAGGCGGUUUGUCGCGUCUGCUGUGAAAGACCGGGGCUCAACUCCGGUUCUGCAGUGGGUACGGGCAGACUAGAGUGCAGUAGGGGAGACUGGAAUUCCUGGUGUAGCGGUGAAAUGCGCAGAUAUCAGGAGGAACACCGAUGGCGAAGGCAGGUCUCUGGGCUGUAACUGACGCUGAGGAGCGAAAGCAUGGGGAGCGAACAGGAUUAGAUACCCUGGUAGUCCAUGCCGUAAACGUUGGGCACUAGGUGUGGGGGACAUUCCACGUUUUCCGCGCCGUAGCUAACGCAUUAAGUGCCCCGCC